GGGUUGUGAGGUUAAGCGACUAAGCGUACACGGUGGAUGCCCUGGCAGUCAGAGGCGAUGAAGGACGUGCUAAUCUGCGAUAAGCGUCGGUAAGGUGAUAUGAACCGUUAUAACCGGCGAUUUCCGAAUGGGGAAACCCAGUGUGAUUCGUCACACUAUCAUUAACUGAAUCCAUAGGUUAAUGAGGCGAACCGGGGGAACUGAAACAUCUAAGUACCCCGAGGAAAAGAAAUCAACCGAGAUUCCCCCAGUAGCGGCGAGCGAACGGGGAGCAGCCCAGAGCCUGAAUCAGUGUGUGUGUUAGUGGAAGCGUCUGGAAAGGCGCGCGAUACAGGGUGACAGCCCCGUACACAAAAAUGCACAUGCUGUGAGCUCGAUGAGUAGGGCGGGACACGUGGUAUCCUGUCUGAAUAUGGGGGGACCAUCCUCCAAGGCUAAAUACUCCUGACUGACCGAUAGUGAACCAGUACCGUGAGGGAAAGGCGAAAAGAACCCCGGCGAGGGGAGUGAAAAAGAACCUGAAACCGUGUACGUACAAGCAGUGGGAGCACGCUUAGGCGUGUGACUGCGUACCUUUUGUAUAAUGGGUCAGCGACUUAUAUUCUGUAGCAAGGUUAACCGAAUAGGGGAGCCGAAGGGAAACCGAGUCUUAACUGGGCGUUAAGUUGCAGGGUAUAGACCCGAAACCCGGUGAUCUAGCCAUGGGCAGGUUGAAGGUUGGGUAACACUAACUGGAGGACCGAACCGACUAAUGUUGAAAAAUUAGCGGAUGACUUGUGGCUGGGGGUGAAAGGCCAAUCAAACCGGGAGAUAGCUGGUUCUCCCCGAAAGCUAUUUAGGUAGCGCCUCGUGAAUUCAUCUCCGGGGGUAGAGCACUGUUUCGGCAAGGGGGUCAUCCCGACUUACCAACCCGAUGCAAACUGCGAAUACCGGAGAAUGUUAUCACGGGAGACACACGGCGGGUGCUAACGUCCGUCGUGAAGAGGGAAACAACCCAGACCGCCAGCUAAGGUCCCAAAGUCAUGGUUAAGUGGGAAACGAUGUGGGAAGGCCCAGACAGCCAGGAUGUUGGCUUAGAAGCAGCCAUCAUUUAAAGAAAGCGUAAUAGCUCACUGGUCGAGUCGGCCUGCGCGGAAGAUGUAACGGGGCUAAACCAUGCACCGAAGCUGCGGCAGCGACGCUGAUGCGUUGUUGGGUAGGGGAGCGUUCUGUAAGCCUGUGAAGGUGUGCUGUGAGGCAUGCUGGAGGUAUCAGAAGUGCGAAUGCUGACAUAAGUAACGAUAAAGCGGGUGAAAAGCCCGCUCGCCGGAAGACCAAGGGUUCCUGUCCAACGUUAAUCGGGGCAGGGUGAGUCGACCCCUAAGGCGAGGCCGAAAGGCGUAGUCGAUGGGAAACAGGUUAAUAUUCCUGUACUUGGUGUUACUGCGAAGGGGGGACGGAGAAGGCUAUGUUGGCCGGGCGACGGUUGUCCCGGUUUAAGCGUGUAGGCUGGUUUUCCAGGCAAAUCCGGAAAAUCAAGGCUGAGGCGUGAUGACGAGGCACUACGGUGCUGAAGCAACAAAUGCCCUGCUUCCAGGAAAAGCCUCUAAGCAUCAGGUAACAUCAAAUCGUACCCCAAACCGACACAGGUGGUCAGGUAGAGAAUACCAAGGCGCUUGAGAGAACUCGGGUGAAGGAACUAGGCAAAAUGGUGCCGUAACUUCGGGAGAAGGCACGCUGAUAUGUAGGUGAAGCGACUUGCUC
RNAcentral lists this ribosomal RNA (1743 nucleotides) under Escherichia coli. RNAcentral describes it as "partial 23S ribosomal RNA". It matches the Rfam family "Bacterial large subunit ribosomal RNA", at positions 1 to 1774 of the family's 2925-position model. Lineage: Bacteria; Pseudomonadati; Pseudomonadota; Gammaproteobacteria; Enterobacterales; Enterobacteriaceae. The record is from RNAcentral.